RNAcentral lists this ribosomal RNA (485 nucleotides) under uncultured bacterium. RNAcentral describes it as "partial 16S rRNA". The record is from RNAcentral.
GCGCGUAGUUAGCCGGUGCUUCUUCUGCGAGUACAGUCAUUAGUCCGUGGUGUUGUCACGGACCGUUUCGUCCCCGCCGAAAGAGCUUUACAACCCGAAGGCCUUCUUCACUCACGCGGCAUGGCUGGAUCAGGCUUGCGCCCAUUGUCCAAAAUUCCCCACUGCUGCCUCCCGUAGGAGUCUGGACCGUGUCUCAGUUCCAGUGUGGCUGGUCGUCCUCUCAGACCAGCUACGGAUCGUCGCCUUGGUGGGCCAUUACCCCGCCAACUAGCUAAUCCGACAUCGGCCGCUCCAAUAGUGCGAGGCCUUGCGGUCCCCCGCUUUCACCCGUAGGUCGUAUGCGGUAUUAGCCUAUCUUUCGACAGGUUAUCCCCCGCUACUGGACACGUUCCGAUGUAUUACUCACCCGUUCGCCGCUCGCCGCCAGAGUUGCCCCCGCGCUGCCGCUCGACUUGCAUGUGUAAGGCAUGCCGCCAGCGUUCAAU